AGCCAAGUGGAACCGAGUUUCUGCUUUGAAGCUCAGCAAAGAAGGGAAAUCCAUGGAGAGUAGUCUGUAAAGCUGCUGUGUGUAGAAGUGGCAUAGAGGGGCAAGAAGAGACAAAGGCUGCCUGGAGGAAGCUCCAGCAGGUACCUCAGGAAUUCCUGCCUGCCUAGCUCCUGUGUAAAGCUCUCUGCACCCUACCAUUGAGGAUUCCAAGGAGGUCAUAG
Ochotona princeps (American pika) is the source of this 221-nucleotide long non-coding RNA. RefSeq lists it as uncharacterized. The transcript has 4 exons. The record is from RefSeq and is a predicted model, not a curated record. Lineage: Eukaryota; Metazoa; Chordata; Mammalia; Lagomorpha; Ochotonidae.